UGGGCAACCUGCCCCUCUCUCUGGGAUAACCCCGGGAAACCGGAGCUAAUACCGGAUACUCCGGCUGGAUCGCAUGGUCCGGCCGGGAAAGGUCCGCCGGAGAGGGAUGGGCCCGCGGCCUAUCAGCUUGUUGGUGGGGUCAUGGCUCACCAAGGCGAUGACGGGUAGCUGGUCUGAGAGGACGACCAGCCACACUGGAACUGAGACACGGUCCAGACUCCUACGGGAGGCA
This 232-nucleotide ribosomal RNA is filed under the name uncultured bacterium. Its description in RNAcentral is "partial 16S ribosomal RNA". It matches the Rfam family "Bacterial small subunit ribosomal RNA", at positions 118 to 350 of the family's 1533-position model. The record is from RNAcentral.